ACGCGUUUAUGUGUCAGACGCAAAGUGUUCCUCUGCUGGGUACAAUGCGUCAAGUAGACCCACUAGUCAGGCGAGGCAAAUGAGUCCAUUCCCAUCCAGCAGCUGAUUCGGUUCUGUUUGAGUAAAGGGGAUCGAGCCAAGAAAAAAUUAGAGCGCGGCGGCGGCGAUCUUGCGGACUGCUUACUCUACUUGGCUGGCCGCCUGACCAGCAAAGGUUCUAAUGGCGACCGACUACCUCAUGCCUCCAGUGGACAGGUAAAAAUGGGCAUUGUUUUCUCGAGGUUGGAGGUUAAUUUCUUUGUUGGAUCUCGGCGACAGCCGCCUGAGGAUAGCUCAACAAUCUUCGCGGAUGAGGCGUACAGUGCAGUUAUUCUAAUGGACAUGGUGUGUGGUGGAGCUCCGGGGCAGGAUGAAUCGGGCGAUGGAUCUAGAUGGGGCAUAGAAGACGCGGGGAACAGUGCAGUGGGAGGAUUUCGGUGAGAGUGAAGGCGAUAACGGAGAGGUGCUUGAGCAAGGUGACGCCCAGAUGACGCAGAGGUGAUUUCUUUAAUCUCUGUUUUCCAUCAGCUAGCAGAAGCCAGAAGCACGGUACCAUCAGGUUGGUCACCCCCACGAUGACAAAAAGUCCCUAGGUUUGCUCUUCCUCAGCUCUCUUCUCCAGCCGCCAUGUCUCUCGCUGGUAGCUCGUCUGGUGGCAAUAGAUCGAAGGCUUCGUCGCCGGUUGCAUCACUGCCAGUAGCUUUAGGACCCAGAAGGCCUGCACCUCUCGGGUCAGCACUGCCUUUAGUUCCGUGUCCGUGCUGUCAAAUGCGCCGCACGGUUCGGUGCGUUUCCAGAUCAGUAGCUAAUCCAGGACGUGUGUUCUACAAGUGCCCUAAUCAUGGCAAGGGGAUGAAUCCAUGCAAUCACUACUACUGGGAAGAUGGGGAGGACAACUAUGUUGCAUUCCUAAUCGCAAAUGGAUUCAUCGCUGGUGCUGGCACUGCAUCUGUUGAUUAUUCGGGUGGCGACUUUCGGUUUGAAGCAAUUGAGGAGGAAAUAGGCAGUGGACUAAAGAUGGACCAGUUGGUUCCGAAAAUGGAACAAUGUCUGAAUAAGAUGGAUCAAUUGAUUGUGCUGUGUAGGCAUGUGAUUACUGCUUUGGUUGUGUUGAUUGCAAUAAUGUUGUAUGUGGCUGUAGCUAAGUAGAUUAUGUAGCAGGAACUAGCAAUGAAUCUUUUGUGUUGUUGAUUGCAAGAAUGUUGUCGAUGUCGCAGACUAUGUAUCAGGAACUUGCAAUGAAAAAAAGUAUUUUUAGGAA
RNA transcript from Hordeum vulgare subsp. vulgare (domesticated barley), 1300 nucleotides. RefSeq lists it as uncharacterized. Lineage: Eukaryota; Viridiplantae; Streptophyta; Magnoliopsida; Poales; Poaceae. The record is from RefSeq and is a predicted model, not a curated record. The transcript has 3 exons.